GGAGGGAUGGCCGAGCGGACGAAGGCGAUAGUCUUGAAAACUAUUGUAUGUAUUCCAUACCGUGGGUUCGAAUCCCACUCCCUCCGCAA
RNAcentral lists this transfer RNA (89 nucleotides) under Actinomycetota bacterium. RNAcentral describes it as "tRNA-Ser". It matches the Rfam family "tRNA". From Rfam's summary of the family: Transfer RNA (tRNA) molecules are approximately 80 nucleotides in length. Their secondary structure includes four short double-helical elements and three loops (D, anti-codon, and T loops). Further hydrogen bonds mediate the characteristic L-shaped molecular structure. tRNAs have two regions of fundamental functional importance: the anti-codon, which is responsible for specific mRNA codon recognition, and the 3' end, to which the tRNAs corresponding amino acid is attached (by aminoacyl-tRNA synthetases). tRNAs cope with the degeneracy of the genetic code in two manners: having more than one tRNA (with a specific anti-codon) for a particular amino acid; and 'wobble' base-pairing, i.e. permitting non-standard base-pairing at the 3rd anti-codon position. The record is from RNAcentral. Lineage: Bacteria; Bacillati; Actinomycetota.